CUAAGAAUAUUCCGCAAUGGACGGAAGUCUGACGGAGCGACGCCGCGUGGAUGAAGAAGGCCGAAAGGUUGUAAAGUUCUUUUGCUGGGGAAGAAUAACCGCAGGAGGGAAUGCCUGUGGGAUGACAAGAACCGGCGAAUAAGCCCCGGCCAACUACGUGCCAGCAGCCGCGGUAACACGUAGGGGGCGAGCGUUGUUCGGAAUUACUGGGCGUAAAGGGCAUGUAGGCGGCUUGGAAAGCCUGGCGUGAAAGUCUGCAGCUUAACUGCAGGGGUGCGCUGGGAACUGCUGAGCUUGAGUGACGGAGAGGGAGCUGGAAUUCCUGGUGUAGGGGUGAAAUCUGUAGAUAUCAGGAAGAACACCGAUGGCGAAGGCAAGCUCCUGGCCGAUGACUGACGCUGAGGUGCGAAAGUGUGGGGAUCAAACAGGAUUAGAUACCCUGGUAGUCCACACAGUCAACGAUGUGCACUAGGUGCUGGGGCGGUAGCUUCGGUGCCGGAGCGAACGUGGUAAGUGCACCGCCUGGGGAGUAUGCUCGCAAGGGUGAAACUU
This 552-nucleotide ribosomal RNA is filed under the name uncultured bacterium. RNAcentral's name for it is "partial 16S ribosomal RNA". It matches the Rfam family "Bacterial small subunit ribosomal RNA", at positions 355 to 902 of the family's 1533-position model. The record is from RNAcentral.